This 208-nucleotide microRNA precursor is filed under the name Marmota monax (woodchuck). The record is from RNAcentral. Lineage: Eukaryota; Metazoa; Chordata; Mammalia; Rodentia; Sciuridae.
GAGAGAGAGAGAGAGAGAGAGAGAGAGAGAGAGAGAGAGAGAGAUAAAAGGGAAAAAGCAAAUUUUUAGAUAAUCCUACAUUAUUUUGGGUAAGAUCUGUAAAUAGUAUCUAUAAAUUUUAAAAGAAAAAAAAAUCCUUCCUGUCUGGCUGCCUUCCACUUCUUUUCUCUCUUUUCCUUUUUUUCUCUUCUUUCUUCUCCUUGGAGUU